UACGUAGGUGGCAAGCGUUGUCCGGAUUUACUGGGCGUAAAGAGCGCGCAGGCGGUCGUUCAAGUCGCGUGUGAAAGCCCCCGGCUCAACUGGGGAGGGUCACGCGAUACUGAUCGACUCGAAGGCAGGAGAGGGUAGUGGAAUUCCCGGUGUAGUGGUGAAAUGCGUAGAUAUCAGGAGGAACACCGGUGGCGAAGGCGGCUAUCUGGACAGAAACUGACGCUGAGGCGCGAAAGCUAGGGGAGCAAACAGG
RNAcentral lists this ribosomal RNA (253 nucleotides) under uncultured bacterium. RNAcentral's name for it is "partial 16S ribosomal RNA". It matches the Rfam family "Bacterial small subunit ribosomal RNA", at positions 524 to 776 of the family's 1533-position model. The record is from RNAcentral.